UGAAAAGCUGGAAGAGAAGUGUUGAAGACAUAACUAAAUGAAUAGAAGUGUGAUCUCUCUACUAGCUUAAGCUUUUAGAUGAAAGGGUCACACACUUUAACAUGGUAUCAGAGCACGUUGAAGUUCCUGAGUUCGAGUCUCACUGGCACCCAUGAUCAAAAGGAAUUUUCACGUGCUUGGCCCAUGAAAAAAUUUAAGGCCCACAAAUGAGGGAGCGUGUUGAAGACAUAAUUAAGUAAAUAAAAAUGUGUUCUCUAUAACAGCUUAAGCAUUUAAAUGAGAUGGUCACACUUUAAACAAUAAAAUCAUAUUUUAAAUACAUAAACGUAAUAAAGGAUAAGUAUGAAGCAGCCGUUAGAGAUGGCCUCUCUAACAGUUUUUUCCUUCUUUUAUUGACGAGGUAAUUGGUCAAUCAGUAAAGAUAUAUGUAUUUUGAUGCCCCGCCUAAGAGAGAGUCGGUUCAAUAAUAACA
RNAcentral lists this long non-coding RNA (472 nucleotides) under Nicotiana benthamiana. RNAcentral's name for it is "long non-coding RNA (NBEN_LNC002287)". Lineage: Eukaryota; Viridiplantae; Streptophyta; Magnoliopsida; Solanales; Solanaceae. The record is from RNAcentral.